CCUACGGGUGGCAGCAGUGAGGAAUAUUGGGCAAUGGAGGCAACUCUGACCCAGCCAUGCCGCGUGAGUGAAGAAGGUUUUCGGAUUGUAAAGCCCUAUCGGCAGGGAAGAAGCAAGACGGUACCUGACUAAGAAGCCCCGGCUAACUACGUGCCAGCAGCCGCGGUAAUACGUAGGGGGCGAGCGUUAUCCGGAUUCACUGGGUGUAAAGGGAGCGUAGACGGCCAUGCAAGCCAGGGGUGAAAGCCCGGGGCCCAACCCCGGGACUGCCCUUGGAACUGCAUGGCUGGAGUGCGGGAGGGGCAGGCGGAAUUCCUGGUGUAGCGGUGAAAUGCGUAGAUAUCAGGAGGAACACCGGCGGCGAAGGCGGCCUGCUGGACCGCGACUGACGUUGAGGCUCGAAAGCGUGGGGAGCGAACAGGAUUAGAUACCCUAGUAGUC
Molecule: ribosomal RNA, 441 nt
Filed under: uncultured bacterium
Lineage: Bacteria
Description: partial 16S ribosomal RNA
Rfam family: Bacterial small subunit ribosomal RNA
Source: RNAcentral